Molecule: long non-coding RNA, 586 nt
Organism: Oncorhynchus tshawytscha (Chinook salmon)
Lineage: Eukaryota; Metazoa; Chordata; Actinopteri; Salmoniformes; Salmonidae
Source: Ensembl
AUUUGGGUGGUCUUAACCAAUCAUAGCACAGUAUGAUAUGGCGGUAAAAUGCAUCCAAUUACAAUUCAGUAUGUUUACACAUAUGACUAUUACAGUGAUGAUAAGGAAGAAUGAGCACACUGGACUCAUUGACCAAACACUUGCAUGCAUGUUUAUGAGCAAUAUAUUUCCCACAAAUCCCUACGGCAAACAGUGAAUCGUGAUGACGCAAAACACAACACGAGGAGAAACCGGCUGAACUCGCGAACGAAUAAAAAAAUCAAUCCUAGACAUGCAAACAAUUAUACAAUGCAAGUUUUACUUCCGAAUUGCCUAUUUGUUUCAGUUACAUUACUCAUGAAGAUGAUUGAAUAGUUAGAAGCCGUACUAGCAGAAUUUCGGUAUCUGCCCUGUGCACUCGUCUGUUCUCGGUUUUGGAAUGGGAUUGCAGACUGACGUUUUGAACAGCAGAGUGACUCAAAACGAACAAAUCCAGGACUUGUGUGAUGGCCUUUUCCUGCUCCAGGACUCUCUCCAUCAUCGGCAGGAAAAUGUGCUGACCACUUUCUUGUACACUCCUGUGGAAACCGGAGGUUCAUUUUGGACA